UACGAAGGGGGCUAGCGUUGCUCGGAAUCGCUGGGCGUAAAGGGUGCGUAGGCGGGUCUUUAAGUCAGGGGUGAAAUCCUGGAGCUCAACUCCAGUACUGCCUUUGAUACUGAGGAUCUUGAGUUCGGGAGAGGUGAGUGGAACUGCGAGUGUAGAGGUGAAAUUCGUAGAUAUUCGCAAGAACACCAGUGGCGAAGGCGGCUCACUGGCCCGAUACUGACGCUGAGGCACGAAAGCGUGGGGAGCAAACAGG
This 253-nucleotide ribosomal RNA is filed under the name uncultured bacterium. RNAcentral describes it as "partial 16S ribosomal RNA". It matches the Rfam family "Bacterial small subunit ribosomal RNA", at positions 524 to 776 of the family's 1533-position model. The record is from RNAcentral.